This is a long non-coding RNA of Vombatus ursinus (common wombat), 638 nucleotides long. RefSeq lists it as uncharacterized. NCBI's taxonomy places the organism in Eukaryota, Metazoa, Chordata, Mammalia, Diprotodontia, Vombatidae. The transcript has 5 exons. The record is from RefSeq and is a predicted model, not a curated record.
CAACGCAGAGCAAGCAGCUCAGCUCAGCCUGAAGCUCUGUAACCAGUUUUGGGGAGCAAGCAAUAGCCUUGGUUUGUGACCCCAGCCCCCUCCGUCCUCGCCAAAAUCCGGGGAGGAAGCAGACCCGCGGAACCAGAACUACAGUCAGAUAAGAAAACUGAUGCAGGAGGGGAAGCAACUUGAGAAUGUCACAGAAGUUGUAAGUGGAUUCAAGCCAGGAGUGUGCCAGAGUCAGCUUGGGAGCUGGUCGUUAAAUUUUCAGUGUUAAAUUAAACAGACAAAGGGCUGCUGCUGUCCAUACUAAAAAACCAGUGGGGAUUGCUUUAAUGGGGACCACUUUCAACUGGAAAAUUCAUGCUUAUAUUUUUAUAGCUCACUAUGUGGAGUUCUUUCAUCCAGCCAAGAUUGCAGAUUCAUGGAACCAAUGAAGGGGGACUGCAGCAACCCUAUGGGAUUGGUGAAAUUCUUCCAGAAGUCCUCUUUCCCAGAACUCUGAUGAGGAAGAGUGAUGUGUUUAUGGUGAACUCAGAUUUGAUAAUGCAUUUUAAACAGAGAGGAGAAAUCUCAUCUGGUUCAAGGUUCCUGUUUUUUCUCUAUAGUUCACACAUCCAGCUCAGUAUCUCUUCUCCCCUUUCCCC